ACAUUAAGAAGCUAUGCAUUUAGCACUAGCCUUUUAAGCUAGCGAAAGGGGACCGCUCACCCCCUUAAUGAA
This 72-nucleotide transfer RNA is filed under the name Corythornis leucogaster (White-bellied kingfisher). RNAcentral's name for it is "tRNA-Lys". Lineage: Eukaryota; Metazoa; Chordata; Aves; Coraciiformes; Alcedinidae. The record is from RNAcentral.